GGAGGGUGCAAGCGUUGUUCGGAAUUAUUGGGCGUAAAGAGCGUGUAGGCGGUUCGGUAAGUCAGAUGUGAAAGCCCUGGGCUCAACCCAGGAAGUGCAUUUGAAACUACCAGACUUGAGUACGGGAGAGGAGGGGGGAAUUCCCGGUGUAGAGGUGAAAUUCGUAGAUAUCGGGAGGAAUACCAGUGGCGAAGGCGCCCUCUGGACCGAUACUGACGCUGAGACGCGAAAGCGUGGGGAGCAAACAGGAUUAGAUACCCUGGUAGUCCACGCCGUAAACGAUGAGCACUAGGUGUAGCGGGUAUUGAUCCCCUGCUGUGCCGUAGCUAACGCAUUAAGUGCUCCGCCUGGGGACUACGGUCGCAAGACUA
RNAcentral lists this ribosomal RNA (371 nucleotides) under uncultured organism. RNAcentral describes it as "partial 16S ribosomal RNA". It matches the Rfam family "Bacterial small subunit ribosomal RNA", at positions 527 to 896 of the family's 1533-position model. The record is from RNAcentral.